GAUGAAGAACGUAGCGAAAUGCGAUAAGUAGUGUGAAUUGCAGAAUUCAGUGAAUCAUCGAAUCUUUGAACGCACAUUGCGCCCUUUGGUAUUCCAAAGGGCAUGCCUGUUCGAGCGUCAUUUGUACCCUCAAGCUUUGCUUGGUGUUGGGCGUCUUGUCUCUAGCUUUGCUGGAGACUCGCCUUAAAGUAAUUGGCAGCCGGCCUACUGGUUUCGGAGCGCAGCACAAGUCGCACUCUCUAUCAGCAAAGGUCUAGCAUCCAUUAAGCCUUUUUUUCAACUUUUGACCUCGGAUCAGGUAGGGAUACCCGCUGAACUUAAUCAUAUCAAUAAGCGGAGGA
This 341-nucleotide unclassified non-coding RNA is filed under the name soil metagenome. RNAcentral describes it as "partial contains 5.8S ribosomal RNA, internal transcribed spacer 2, and large subunit ribosomal RNA". The stretch from base 1 to 120 matches the Rfam family "5.8S ribosomal RNA", at positions 35 to 154 of the family's 154-position model. The record is from RNAcentral.